UCUGGCGGCCUUAGCGCGGUGGUCCCACCUGACCCCAUACCGAACUCAGAAGUGAAACGCCGUAGCGCCGAUGGUAGUGUGGGGUCUCCCCAUGCGAGAGUAGGGAACUGCCAGAC
RNAcentral lists this ribosomal RNA (116 nucleotides) under Escherichia coli. The record is from RNAcentral. Lineage: Bacteria; Pseudomonadati; Pseudomonadota; Gammaproteobacteria; Enterobacterales; Enterobacteriaceae.